GACGAACGCUGGCGGCGUGCCUAAUACAUGCAAGUCGAACGAGAGCGACCGGUGCUUGCACUGGUCAAUCUAGUGGCGAACGGGUGAGUAACACGUGGGUAACCUGCCCAUCAGAGGGGGAUAACAUUCGGAAACGGAUGCUAAAACCGCAUAGGUCUUCGAACCGCAUGGUUUGAAGAGGAAAAGAGGCGCAAGCUUCUGCUGAUGGAUGGACCCGCGGUGCAUUAGCUAGUUGGUGAGGUAACGGCUCACCAAGGCCGUGAUGCAUAGCCGACCUGAGAGGGUGAUCGGCCACAUUGGGACUGAGACACGGCCCAAACUCCUACGGGAGGCAGCAGUAGGGAAUCUUCCGCAAUGGACGCAAGUCUGACGGAGCAACGCCGCGUGAGUGAAGAAGGUUUUCGGAUCGUAAAACUCUGUUGUUAGAGAAGAACAAGUGCUAGAGUAACUGUUAGCGCCUUGACGGUAUCUAACCAGAAAGCCACGGCUAACUACGUG
This 498-nucleotide ribosomal RNA is filed under the name uncultured bacterium. RNAcentral describes it as "partial 16S ribosomal RNA". It matches the Rfam family "Bacterial small subunit ribosomal RNA", at positions 28 to 507 of the family's 1533-position model. The record is from RNAcentral.